This 614-nucleotide ribosomal RNA is filed under the name Alexandrium tamarense. Its description in RNAcentral is "partial Bacterial small subunit ribosomal RNA". It matches the Rfam family "Bacterial small subunit ribosomal RNA", at positions 342 to 949 of the family's 1533-position model. The record is from RNAcentral. Lineage: Eukaryota; Dinophyceae; Gonyaulacales; Pyrocystaceae.
CGGGAGGCAGCAGUGGGGAAUAUUGCACAAUGGGCGCAAGCCUGAUGCAGCCAUGCCGCGUGUGUGAAGAAGGCCUUCGGGUUGUAAAGCACUUUUGUCAGGGAAGAAAUCGUUCGGGCUAAUACCUCGGGCAGUUGACGGUACCUGAAGAAUAAGCACCGGCUAACUACGUGCCAGCAGCCGCGGUAAUACGUAGGGUGCAAGCGUUAAUCGGAAUUACUGGGCGUAAAGCGUGCGCAGGCGGUUGUGCAAGACAGAUGUGAAAUCCCCGGGCUCAACCUGGGAACUGCAUUUGUGACUGCAUGGCUUGAGUACGGCAGAGGGGGAUGGAAUUCCGCGUGUAGCAGUGAAAUGCGUAGAUAUGCGGAGGAACACCGAUGGCGAAGGCAGCCCCCUGGGCCAUGACUGACACUCAUGCACGAAAGCGUGGGGAGCAAACAGGAUUAGAUACCCUGGUAGUCCACACCGUAAACGAUGAAUGCCAGUCGUCGGAUAGUAUACUAUUCGGUGACACACCUAACGGAUUAAGCAUUCCGCCUGGGGAGUACGGUCGCAAGAUUAAAACUCAAAUAAAUUGACGGGGACCCGCACAAGCAGUGGAGCAUGUGGUUUAA